Non-coding RNA from Acanthosepion pharaonis, 111 nucleotides. Lineage: Eukaryota; Metazoa; Mollusca; Cephalopoda; Sepiida; Sepiidae. The record is from the annotation of a GenBank genome assembly.
AUGUCCAUACCAUGUUGAAACAUCAGUUCUCCUCCAAUCCCCAAAGUUAAGCAAUGUUGAGCUUGGACAGCAGAAAGAUGGGUGACUGCUUGGGAAUACAAGAUACUGUAA